AUUGAACGCUGGCGGCAUGCUUUACACAUGCAAGUCGAACGGCAGCGCGGGCUUCGUGCUGGCGGCGAGUGGCGGACGGGUGAGUAAUGCAUCGGAACGUGCCCAGCAGUGGGGGAUAGGCCGGCGAAAGCCGGAUUAAUACCGCAUACGACCUGAUGGUGAAAGGGGGGGACCGAAAGGCCUCGCGCUAUUGGAGCGGCCGAUGUCGGAUUAGCUAGUUGGUGGGGUAAGGGCUUACCAAGGCGACGAUCCGUAGCUGGUCUGAGAGGACGACCAGCCACACUGGAACUGAGACACGGCCCAGACUCCUACGGGAGGCAGCAGUGGGGAAUUUUGGACAAUGGGGGCAACCCUGAUCCAGCCAUGCCGCGUGCGUGAAGAAGGCCUUCGGGUUGUAAACCGCUUUUAUUCGGGAAGAAAUCCUCUGGGCUAAUACCCCGGGGGGAUGACGGUACCGGAAGAAUAAGCACCGGCUAACUACGUG
Molecule: ribosomal RNA, 484 nt
Filed under: uncultured bacterium
Lineage: Bacteria
Description: partial 16S ribosomal RNA
Rfam family: Bacterial small subunit ribosomal RNA
Source: RNAcentral